This 161-nucleotide ribosomal RNA is filed under the name Amanita sp. 'labiliannulus'. RNAcentral's name for it is "5.8S ribosomal RNA". It matches the Rfam family "5.8S ribosomal RNA". From Rfam's summary of the family: 5.8S ribosomal RNA (5.8S rRNA) is a component of the large subunit of the eukaryotic ribosome. It is transcribed by RNA polymerase I as part of the 45S precursor that also contains 18S and 28S rRNA. RNAcentral also lists the same sequence under 1 other name. The record is from RNAcentral. Lineage: Eukaryota; Fungi; Basidiomycota; Agaricomycetes; Agaricales; Amanitaceae.
ACAACUUUCAACAAUGGAUCUCUUGGUUCUCGCAUCGAUGAAGAACACAGCGAAAUGUGAUAAGUAAUGUGAAUUGCAGAAUUCAGUGAAUCAUCGAAUCUUUGAACGCAUCUUGCGCUCCUUGGUAUUCUGAGGAGCAUGCCUGUUUGAGUGUCAUUAAA